RNAcentral lists this transfer RNA (77 nucleotides) under Mesorhizobium sp. NK-1. RNAcentral describes it as "tRNA-Ile". It matches the Rfam family "tRNA". Rfam says of the family: Transfer RNA (tRNA) molecules are approximately 80 nucleotides in length. Their secondary structure includes four short double-helical elements and three loops (D, anti-codon, and T loops). The record is from RNAcentral. Lineage: Bacteria; Pseudomonadati; Pseudomonadota; Alphaproteobacteria; Hyphomicrobiales; Phyllobacteriaceae.
GGGCUUGUAGCUCAGUUGGUUAGAGCGCGCGCUCGAUAAGCGUGAGGUCGGAGGUUCAAGUCCUCCCAGGCCCACCA